AUUUCACUCUUGACUAUUGGACCAUCCAAUUUUUCUAGUAAUCACAUUCUGAAAGAAAAUUUUAUGGUUACAAGUCUAGCUACAAAAUGCAAUUAUCAACAUUCCAAGAGAAACCAAAUCACAGAUUAAAACAAAUAAAUAAAUAAGUUUUUCAGAUUACCAUGUAGGUCAGCACUGAGACUCUCAAAGCAUUCAGAACUUGAAGAUAGAUCAUCUGGGAAAGGAGUUUCAAGAACUGAA
Molecule: unclassified non-coding RNA, 240 nt
Filed under: Hevea brasiliensis (rubber tree)
Lineage: Eukaryota; Viridiplantae; Streptophyta; Magnoliopsida; Malpighiales; Euphorbiaceae
Source: RNAcentral